AGAGUUUGAUCAUGGCUCAGAAUCAACGCUGGCGGCGUGCCUAACACAUGCAAGUCGAACGCGAAAGUGGAGCAAUCCAUGAGUAGAGUGGCGAACGGGUGAGUAACACGUGGGUGACCUACCUUCGAAUGGGGGAUAACGUCCCGAAAGGGACGCUAAUACCGCAUAACAUCCUGCUUUUGAACAAGCGGAGAUCAAAGCUGGGGAUCGCAAGACCUGGCGUUUGGAGAGGGGCCCGCGUCUGAUUAGCUAGUUGGUGAGGUAAUGGCCCACCAAGGCAACGAUCAGUAUCCGGCCUGAGAGGGCGGACGGACACACUGGGACUGAGACACGGCCCAGACUCCUACGGGAGGCAGCAGUGGGGAAUUGUUCACAAUGGGCGCAAGCCUGAUGACGCAACGCCGCGUGGAGGAUGAAGGUCUUCGGAUUGUAAACUCCUGUUGCUCGGGACGAAAAGCUUCGACCUAAUACGUCGAAGUCUGACGGUACCGGGUGAGGAAGCCCCGGCUAACUCUGUGCCAGCAGCCGCGGUAAUACAGAGGGGGCAAGCGUUGUUCGGAAUUACUGGGCGUAAAGGGCGCGUAGGCGGCCAUCUAAGUCAUGCGUGAAAUCCCCGGGCUCAACCCGGGAACUGCGUCUGAUACUGGAUGGCUUGAAUCCGGGAGAGGGAUGUGGAAUUCCAGGUGUAGCGGUGAAAUGCGUAGAUAUCUGGAGGAACACCGGUGGCGAAGGCGGCAUCCUGGACCGGUAUUGACGCUGAGGCGCGAAAGCCAGGGGAGCAAACGGGAUUAGAUACCCCAGUAGUCC
RNAcentral lists this ribosomal RNA (807 nucleotides) under uncultured bacterium. RNAcentral's name for it is "bacterial SSU rRNA". It matches the Rfam family "Bacterial small subunit ribosomal RNA", at positions 8 to 796 of the family's 1533-position model. The record is from RNAcentral.